RNAcentral lists this ribosomal RNA (444 nucleotides) under uncultured bacterium. RNAcentral describes it as "partial 16S ribosomal RNA". It matches the Rfam family "Bacterial small subunit ribosomal RNA", at positions 331 to 792 of the family's 1533-position model. The record is from RNAcentral.
CCAGACUCCUACGGGAGGCAGCAGUGGGGGAUAUUGCACAAUGGGGGAAACCCUGAUGCAGCGACGCCGCGUGAGUGAAGAAGUAUUUCGGUAUGUAAAGCUCUAUCAGCAGGGAAGAAAAUGACAGUACCUGACCAAGAAGCCCCGGCUAACUACGUGCCAGCAGCCGCGGUAAUACGUAGGGGGCAAGCGUUAUCCGGAUUUACUGGGUGUAAAGGGAGCGUAGACGGUUAUGUAAGUCUGGAGUGAAAGCCCGGGGCCCAACCCCGGGACUGCUUUGGAAACUGUAUAGCUGGAGUGCAGGAGAGGUAAGUGGAAUUCCUAGUGUAGCGGUGAAAUGCGUAGAUAUUAGGAGGAACACCAGUGGCGAAGGCGGCUUACUGGACUGUAACUGACGUUGAGGCUCGAAAGCGUGGGGAGCAAACAGGAUUAGAUACCCUGGUA